GGGGCUGUAAGGGUUUUGACGGGAAGCCGUGGUAGCAAGAGUUGCGAGCCGAGGGCGCUAACCUCCCCUCGUAAAACACAUGUUAGCAACGUCAUAAACGCAGACGUAAAAUCGUUAGCGCACAUUGAGUGGUUUGAGGGUCUUGCACCUUCAUUUGCCGCUCCUGUGCCAGUUGCUGCUUAAUAUAUAAGUAGCCCGUCUCCCAAGCUUUGCCGAAGGGUUUGGGGUCAGACGUUAUUUUUUCGGCUGCGUGAUUAGUCUUUUCUGUUUGGCUGAUCACUAAGACUUACAUCAGAUAGCGUGGGAACUGCCUGGCUUCAGGUUAAGUCCCAGGCGAAUUAUAAAAAGAAGCUACGCUCGUAGUAACUUUUGCGCUGCCUUUUCGGACGCGGGUUCGACUCCCGCCAGCUCCACCA
This 416-nucleotide transfer-messenger RNA is filed under the name bacterium. Its description in RNAcentral is "JAHIZU01 sp018814265 Standard tmRNA". It matches the Rfam family "transfer-messenger RNA". Rfam says of the family: Bacterial tmRNA, also known as 10Sa RNA or SsrA, is named for its dual tRNA and mRNA-like properties. Its role is to liberate the mRNA from a stalled ribosome. To accomplish this part of the tmRNA is used as a reading frame that ends in a translation stop signal. RNAcentral also lists the same sequence under 1 other name. The record is from RNAcentral.